UCUCUGCUGAUCUGAGUCUGCCUGCGGCAUGGACCUGCAUCUUCCCUGAAGCAUCUCCAGGGCUGAAAAAUCACUGACCAUGGCACCAUGGUCUCAUCCAUCUGCACAGCUGCAGCCAGUGGGAGGAGACGCCGUGAGCCCUGCCCUCAUGGCUCUGCUCUGCCUCGGGCUGAGUCUGGGCCCCAGGACCCACGUGCAGGCAGGGAAACUCUCCAAACCCACCCUCUGGGCUGAGCCAGGCUCUGUGAUCAGCCGGGGGAACCCUGUGACCAUCCGGUGUCAGGGGACCCUGGAGGCCCAGGAAUACCAUCUAGAUAAAGAGGGAAGCCCAGAACCCUGGGACACACAGAACCCACUGGAGCCCAAGAACAAGGCCAGAUUCUCCAUCCCAUCCAUGACAGAGCACCAUGCAGGGAGAUACCGCUGUUACUAUUACAGCCCUGUAGGCUGGUCAGAGCCCAGCGACCCCCUGGAGCUGGUGGUGACAGGAUUCUACAACAAACCCACCCUCUCAACCCUGCCCAGCCCUGCGGUGACCUCAGGAGAGAACGUGACCCUCCAGUGUGGCUCAUGGCUGAGAUUCAACAGGUUCAUUCUGACUGAGGAAGGAGACCACAAGCUCUCCUGGACCUUGGACUCACAGCUGACCCCCAGUGGGCAGUUCCAGGCCCUGUUCCCUGUGGGCCCUGUGACCCCCAGCCACAGGUGGAUGCUCAGAUGCUAUGGCUCUCGCAGGCAUAUCCUGCAGGUAUGGUCAGAACCCAGUGACCUCCUGGAGAUUCCGGUCUCAGGUGAGGAAGCCACAGCCUUCUCUAGUACAAUUCAGGGAAGCCAGACAGGUUGUGGAGAGCUUUACAGGCAGGGCAGCCCCUGCUAAGAAAGACAAAAAGGGGAAGGAGAACACAGAAAUCCUAGGGAUGCA
RNAcentral lists this small RNA (922 nucleotides) under Pan troglodytes (chimpanzee). RNAcentral describes it as "retained intron". The record is from RNAcentral. Lineage: Eukaryota; Metazoa; Chordata; Mammalia; Primates; Hominidae.